This 892-nucleotide ribosomal RNA is filed under the name uncultured archaeon. Its description in RNAcentral is "bacterial SSU rRNA". It matches the Rfam family "Archaeal small subunit ribosomal RNA", at positions 1 to 872 of the family's 1478-position model. The record is from RNAcentral.
UUCCGGUUGAUCCCGCCGGACCCGACCGCUAUCGGGGUGGGGCUAACCCAUGGAAGUCUAGGAGCCGGGGCUACGGCCGGCUCCGGCGGACGGCUCAGUAGCACGUGGCUAACCUACCCUCGGGAGGGGGAUAACCCCGGGAAACUGGGGAUAAACCCCCAUAGGCGCGGACACCUGGAAUGGGUCCGCGCUGGAAGGGCCACGGUACCAUGCUUACCGUGGCCGCCCGAGGAUGGGGCUGCGCCCUAUCAGGUAGUUGGCGGGGUAACGGCCCGCCAAGCCGAUAACGGGUGGGGGCCGUGAGAGCGGGAGCCCCGAGAUGGGCACUGAGACAAGGGCCCAGGCCCUACGGGGUGCACCAGGGGCGAAACUUCCGCAAUGCGGGAAACCGUGACGGAGUCACCCCGAGUGCCACCCGAAGAGGGUGGCUUUUGCCCGGUCUAAAAAGCCGGGCGAAUAAGCGGGGGGCAAGCUUGGUGUCAGCCGCCGCGGUAAUACCAACCCCGCGAGUGGUCGGGACGUUUAUUGGGCCUAAAGCGUCCGUAGCCGGCCCGGUAAGUCCCUCCUUAAAGCCCACGGCUCAACCGUGGGAGCGGAGGGAUACUGCCGGGCUAGGGGGCGGGAGAGGCCGGGGGUACUCCUGGGGUAGGGGCGAAAUCCUAUAAUCCCAGGAGGACCACCAGUGGCGAAGGCGCCCGGCUAGCACGCGCCCGACGGUGAGGGACGAAAGCUGGGGGAGCAAAGGGGAUUAGAUACCCCCGUAGUCCCAGCUGUAAGCGAUGCGGGCUAGGUGUUGGACGGGCUUCGAGCCCGUCCAGUGCCGUAGGGAAGCCGUUAAGCCCGCCGCCUGGGGAGUACGGCCGCAAGGCUGAAACUUAAAGGAAUUGGCGGG